Molecule: ribosomal RNA, 497 nt
Filed under: uncultured bacterium
Lineage: Bacteria
Description: partial 16S ribosomal RNA
Rfam family: Bacterial small subunit ribosomal RNA
Source: RNAcentral
GAUGAACGCUGGCGGCGUGCCUAAUACAUGCAAGUCGAGCGAACGGACGAGAAGCUUGCUUUUCUGAUGUUAGCGGCGGACGGGUGAGUAACACGUGGAUAACCUACCUAUAAGACUGGGAUAACUUCGGGAAACCGGAGCUAAUACCGGAUAAUAUUUUGAACCGCAUGGUUCAAAAGUGAAAGACGGUCUUGCUGUCACUUAUAGAUGGAUCCGCGCUGCAUUAGCUAGUUGGUAAGGUAACGGCUUACCAAGGCAACGAUGCAUAGCCGAACUGAGAGGGUGAUCGGCCACACGGGAACUGAGACACGGUCCAGACGCCUACGGGAGGCAGCAGUAGGGAAUCUUCCGCAAUGGGCGAAAGCCUGACAGAGCAACGCCGCGUGAGUGAUGAAGGUCUUCCGAUCGUAAAACUCUGUUAUUAGGGAAGAACAUAUGUGUAAGUAACUGUGCACAUCUUGACGGUACCUAAUCAGAAAGCCACGGCUAACUACGUG